RNAcentral lists this ribosomal RNA (445 nucleotides) under Mogibacterium timidum. RNAcentral's name for it is "bacterial SSU rRNA". It matches the Rfam family "Bacterial small subunit ribosomal RNA", at positions 28 to 456 of the family's 1533-position model. Lineage: Bacteria; Bacillati; Bacillota; Clostridia; Peptostreptococcales; Anaerovoracaceae. The record is from RNAcentral.
GAUGAACGCUGGCGGCGUGCCUAAUACAUGCAAGUCGAGCGAGAAGCUUGGAAAUGACGCUUCGGUUGAUUUUCCAAGCGGACAGCGGCGGACGGGUGAGUAACGCGUAGGCAACCUGCCCCUGACAGAGGGAUAGCCAUUGGAAACGAUGAUUAAAACCUCAUGACACCGUAGUAGCACAUGCUACAUCGGUCAAAGAUUUAUCGGUCAGGGAUGGGCCUGCGUCUGAUUAACUGGUUGGUGAGGUAACGGCUCACCAAGGUGACGAUCAGUAGCCGACCUGAGAGGGUGAUCGGCCACAUUGGAACUGAGACACGGUCCAAACUUCUACGGAAGGCAGCAGUAGGGAAUCUUGCACAAUGGGCGAAAGCCUGAUGCAGCAACGCCGCGUGAAGGAUGAAGGCCUUCGGGUUGUAAACUUCUGUUCUAAGGGAAGAAAGAAAGG